RNAcentral lists this transfer RNA (70 nucleotides) under Bathylychnops exilis (javelin spookfish). Its description in RNAcentral is "tRNA-Glu". It matches the Rfam family "tRNA". From Rfam's summary of the family: Transfer RNA (tRNA) molecules are approximately 80 nucleotides in length. Their secondary structure includes four short double-helical elements and three loops (D, anti-codon, and T loops). Lineage: Eukaryota; Metazoa; Chordata; Actinopteri; Argentiniformes; Opisthoproctidae. The record is from RNAcentral.
GUUCUUAUAGUUAAAUAAUAACGGUGGUUUUUCAAAUCAUUAGUCCUGGUUAAAGUCCGGGUGGGAACUA